CAGAAUCCUGCCUAGACGUAACGAUACCAUAGCGCCGCGGAGCUUCGGUUGGCCCAGGAUAGCCGGCUUCGGCCGGUGAGUAGAGCCGUUCGAGACGGGGCUGGGGCGCGGCCGGAUGAUGGUCGCCCCUCUCCUACCUCGCACCGCAUGUUUGUGGAGAACCUGGUGCUAAAUCACUUGUAGACGACCUGAUUCUGGGUCAGGGUUUCGUACGUAGCAGAGCAGCUCCCUCGCUGCGAUCU
This 242-nucleotide ribosomal RNA is filed under the name Spinachia spinachia (sea stickleback). RNAcentral describes it as "partial 28S ribosomal RNA". The record is from RNAcentral. Lineage: Eukaryota; Metazoa; Chordata; Actinopteri; Perciformes; Gasterosteidae.